UACGUAGGGGCCUAGCGUUGUCCGGAAUUAUUGGGCGUAAAGAGCGUGUAGGCGGUCCGGUAAGUCAGCUGUGAAAGUCAAGGGCUCAACCCUUGAAUGCCGGUUGAUACUGUCGGGCUAGAGUCCGGAAGAGGCGAGUGGAAUUCCCGGUGUAGCGGUGAAAUGCGCAGAUAUCGGGAGGAACACCAAUGGCGAAGGCAGCUCGCUGGGACGGUACUGACGCUGAGACGCGAAAGCGUGGGGAGCAAACAGG
This 253-nucleotide ribosomal RNA is filed under the name uncultured bacterium. RNAcentral describes it as "partial 16S ribosomal RNA". It matches the Rfam family "Bacterial small subunit ribosomal RNA", at positions 524 to 776 of the family's 1533-position model. The record is from RNAcentral.